This 497-nucleotide ribosomal RNA is filed under the name uncultured bacterium. Its description in RNAcentral is "partial 16S ribosomal RNA". It matches the Rfam family "Bacterial small subunit ribosomal RNA", at positions 28 to 507 of the family's 1533-position model. The record is from RNAcentral.
GAUGAACGCUGGCGGCGUGCCUAAUACAUGCAAGUCGAGCGAACAGAUGAGGAGCUUGAUCCUCUGACGUUAGCGGCGGACGGGUGAGUAACACGUGGAUAACCUACCUAUAAGACUGGGAUAACUUCGGGAAACCGGAGCUAAUACCGGAUAAUAUAUUGAACCGCAUGGUUCAAUAGUGAAAGACGGUUUUGCUGUCACUUAUAGAUGGAUCCGCGCCGCAUUAGCUAGUUGGUAAGGUAACGGCUUACCAAGGCAACGAUGCGUAGCCGACCUGAGAGGGUGAUCGGCCACACUGGAACUGAGACACGGUCCAGACUCCUACGGGAGGCAGCAGUAGGGAAUCUUCCGCAAUGGGCGAAAGCCUGACGGAGCAACGCCGCGUGAGUGAUGAAGGUCUUCGGAUCGUAAAACUCUGUUAUUAGGGAAGAACAAAUGUGUAAGUAACUAUGCACGUCUUGACGGUACCUAAUCAGAAAGCCACGGCUAACUACGUG